Molecule: ribosomal RNA, 498 nt
Filed under: uncultured bacterium
Lineage: Bacteria
Description: partial 16S ribosomal RNA
Rfam family: Bacterial small subunit ribosomal RNA
Source: RNAcentral
GAUGAACGCUAGCGGCAGGCCUAAUACAUGCAAGUCGAACGAUAGAAGAGGGCUUGCUCUCUUCGAAAGUGGCGUACGGGUGCGUAACGCGUAUGCAACCUACCUUAAUCAGGGGGAUAGCCCGAAGAAAUUCGGAUUAACACCGCAUAAAAUCACAGUACAGCAUUGUACAAUGAUCAAAUAUUUAUAGGAUUAAGAUGGGCAUACGUGACAUUAGCUAGUUGGCGGGGUAACGGCCCACCAAGGCGACGAUGUCUAGGGGAUCUGAGAGGAUGACCCCCCACACUGGUACUGAGACACGGACCAGACUCCUACGGGAGGCAGCAGUAAGGAAUAUUGGUCAAUGGAGGCAACUCUAAACCAGCCAUGCCGCGUGCAGGAAGACAGCCCUCUGGGUCGUAAACUGCUUUUAUUCGGGAAUAAACCUACUUACGUGUAAGUAGCUGAAUGUACCGAAGGAAUAAGGAUCGGCUAACUCCGUGCCAGCCGCCGCCGUAA